GAUGAACGCUGGCGGCGUGCCUAAUACAUGCAAGUCGAGCGAACAGACGAGGAGCUUGCCCCUCUGACGUUAGCGGCGGACGGGUGAGUAACACGUGGAUAACCUACCUAUAAGACUGGGAUAACUUCGGGAAACCGGAGCUAAUACCGGAUAAUAUAUUGAACCGCAUGGUUCAAUAGUGAAAGACGGUUUUGCUGUCACUUAUAGAUGGAUCCGCGCCGCAUUAGCUAGUUGGUAAGGUAACGGCUUACCAAGGCAACGAUGCGUAGCCGACCUGAGAGGGUGAUCGGCCACACUGGAACUGAGACACGGUCCAGACUCCUACGGGAGGCAGCAGUAGGGAAUCUUCCGCAAUGGGCGAAAGCCUGACGGAGCAACGCCGCGUGAGUGAUGAAGGUCUUCGGAUCGUAAAACUCUGUUACUAGGGAAGAACAAAUGUGUAAGUAACUAUGCACGUCUUGACGGUACCUAAUCAGAAAGCCACGGCUAACUACGUG
RNAcentral lists this ribosomal RNA (497 nucleotides) under uncultured bacterium. Its description in RNAcentral is "partial 16S ribosomal RNA". It matches the Rfam family "Bacterial small subunit ribosomal RNA", at positions 28 to 507 of the family's 1533-position model. The record is from RNAcentral.